UUAUAUGGUGGCUAUUGAGUUCUUUGUUGGGGAAAUGAAAAUGCUAGAGAAGCAUCAUACAUCGCAUUAGCUAACCUCGGAGAAAAUUGACAAGCACUUCCACGGUCCAACAGAAGAAUUGUCAAGUUAGAACACCACUUUCAUACACAAGAAUCCAUGACAAAAGAUUUUAAGGAGAAGAAAAAUUUUCCAAACCAAGGAUCUACUUUAAGCAUCCCCUGACUAAAACCCAAAUGACCCAACGCCGGUACACCAAUCCAUAGGCUUAGAAGGUGGACGAGAUGUCUGCAUUGUGAAUGAGGUAAGUGAGCACCAGAGCCACCAACAUGAGCACAUAUGCCACUCCCUGGUCGAUCGAUGUUCCUGAGAUCGCACAAAUCGCAACUAUUAGCAACAACCCUUUUACAAAAUCAAAUCUUUCCAUGCAAUGAUCUCAAGGGAAGGAUGAUGCCAACAGCAGAAGAAGGCACAAAAUGAACCGGUUUUUGACCCGAGUUAUGUUGCACACAGCUGAUUUGCUCUUUGCUCAUUAGAAACCUGGAAGUCCAUUUCAAUUGCAGAACUUGCUACAUUAUAGAGGAAUUUUACUAAAGCUCAUCUAUCAGACGGCGGAUCAAGCAGCUUUAGCGUUGCAAUAUGCCAAUGUUUGAAACAUGAAUCGCUUGACAAUUCCAGAAAAAAAUUGUAAAAAGUCAAGAUGGGUAGACAUGAUUUGGCCAGAAAUAGAAUGCUUCAUUACUCGGCACAUGACAGGCAGGUACCCAUCAAGGAGGGACCGGUCCGUCAGCGUCAAGGAAUUUCUUGAUAAUUGAAAUGGUUACCCUGAAAAGCUGUCAAUAAUUGAAGGGGACAGUCUGCCAGCUUCACUUUCGGAACUAGAUUUGGAAAAUGGGCAAGGAAAUUAGGAUUGACUUAUUUCUGUAUUGAUUAUGACAUUUAAAUUGAGUAAAUGUAACCGAGAAAAUUACCCAUGGAAUUUGAAUUCGAAAAUCUUCUUUGAUCCGCACCAUUUUAAAAAAUUUCAUGUUUCAAAACUUAAAAAUCAAGAAUGGAACGGGAAUGCGUUGAGAUCUUCUCUUCAUCAUAUCCUAGUGCACGAAUCAAUCAAUGUAAUGCUUCAGCUCAAAUUGCUAAGCCGAAAAACGACUUAAUUUAGAAUAAAACCCUUUUUCCAAAAUUGGAUUUUGGAAAGGAAGGAGCCAUUUACGAUGAAAAUCCGGAAUAACUUUCAGAUGCAGGGACGAAUUGGAAUAACUUUCAAAUGCCCGUCUUGCCAGAGAAAUUAUUCAUCUCAAAAAACCACAGCACGAAAAAAAAAAAAGAAUCAACAAUGCCGGACAUCUCAACUUCAGAUCUCAAUCUCACCAAAUGCAAGAGACACCCAAAGAGAGAGAGAGAGAGAGAGAGAGGACUCACCGUCGCUGGCGGGCGCGGGUGCCGGGGCGCGGGACUGGGCCUGGGCGGUGGGCAACGCAAUGGCGAUGACGAGGGCCGCAAUGGCGGCCAGCACGCCGUGCGAGAACCUGUAGACCUCCAUAUUUUCCUCCUCGUCCGAUCUCGGUCGAGCCCGCUACCAACCCAGAUGGGAAUCGUCAAACACGAGGGAAAAAACAAAAAGAAAAACGCAAAGAACCGCAAAAAAACGCCGGGCGAGAGAGGGGAGAUCUCGGCCGGGUCUCUCUCUGCGACGCCUCUCGCAGUACAAGGCAGCCCCCCUGGCGAGCGCGGCCGCAGAGAGAGAAGCGAAGGAAAGGAAAGGAAAAAGGGAAAGAUUUCGGGGAGGAUUCUUGCUGUAAUGCGAGAGAAAGAGACGAAGAGAGAGAGAGAGAGAGAGGAAGGGACGAGGAUUGGUGGAGAUUUUGAGGGGUCGCUUGAAGAUUUAUAGGAGCAUAACGUUACAAUGCAAUACCAAACGCAC
Molecule: long non-coding RNA, 1918 nt
Filed under: Eucalyptus grandis
Lineage: Eukaryota; Viridiplantae; Streptophyta; Magnoliopsida; Myrtales; Myrtaceae
Description: long non-coding RNA (EGRA_LNC002603)
Source: RNAcentral